This 970-nucleotide ribosomal RNA is filed under the name Providencia rettgeri. Its description in RNAcentral is "partial 23S ribosomal RNA". It matches the Rfam family "Bacterial large subunit ribosomal RNA", at positions 561 to 1532 of the family's 2925-position model. The record is from RNAcentral. Lineage: Bacteria; Pseudomonadati; Pseudomonadota; Gammaproteobacteria; Enterobacterales; Morganellaceae.
UACGUACAAGCAGUGGGAGCCUUGAUUUAUCAGGGUGACUGCGUACCUUUUGUAUAAUGGGUCAGCGACUUAUAUUCUGUAGCAAGGUUAACCGUAUAGGGGAGCCGUAGGGAAACCGAGUCUUAACUGGGCGAAUGAGUUGCAGGGUAUAGACCCGAAACCCGGUGAUCUAGCCAUGGGCAGGUUGAAGGUUGGGUAACACUAACUGGAGGACCGAACCGACUAAUGUUGAAAAAUUAGCGGAUGACUUGUGGCUGGGGGUGAAAGGCCAAUCAAACCGGGAGAUAGCUGGUUCUCCCCGAAAGCUAUUUAGGUAGCGCCUCGUGAACUCAUCUUCGGGGGUAGAGCACUGUUUCGACUAGGGGGUCAUCCCGACUUACCAACUCGAUGCAAACUACGAAUACCGAAGAAUGUUAUCACGGGAGACACACGGCGGGUGCUAACGUUCGUCGUGAAGAGGGAAACAACCCAGACCGCCAGCUAAGGUCCCAAAGUCAUAGUUAAGUGGGAAACGAAGUGGGAAGGCUCAGACAGCCAGGAUGUUGGCUUAGAAGCAGCCAUCAUUUAAAGAAAGCGUAAUAGCUCACUGGUCGAGUCGGCCUGCGCGGAAGAUGUAACGGGGCUAAACUAUGCACCGAAGCUGCGGCAGCGAUAUGUAAAUAUUGUUGGGUAGGGGAGCGUUCUGUAAGCCUGUGAAGGUGUACUGUGAGGUAUGCUGGAGGUAUCAGAAGUGCGAAUGCUGACAUAAGUAACGAUAAUGCGGGUGAAAAACCCGCACGCCGGAAGACCAAGGGUUCCUGUCCAACGUUAAUCGGGGCAGGGUGAGUCGACCCCUAAGGCGAGGCAGAAAUGCGUAGUCGAUGGGAAACGGGUUAAUAUUCCCGUACUGGUGAUAAUUGCGAUGGGGGGACGGAGAAGGCUAGGCUGGCCGGGCGACGGUUGUCCCGGUUUAAGGAUGUAGGCAGGUGAA